AAUCUCGUGCCAGCCACCGCGGUUAUACGAGGAACUCAUAUUAAUAUUCACGGCCCAAAGGGUAGUUUAAGAUUAAAUAAAAUAGAAUUUAAAACUUAUCUAGUAGUUAUAUACAAACAUAAAAUGUAAAAUCAAAAACGAAAGUUAUACUAUAUAUUCUUGAAUCCACUAUAGCUGAGAAACAAACUAGGAUUAGAUACCCCACUAUGCUCAACUUUAAAAUGGACCCUCCCGCCAGAGCACUACGAGCCACAGCUUAAAACUCAAAGGACUUGGCGGUGCUCUACACCCACCUAGAGGAGCCUGUUCUAUAAUCGACACCCCCCGAUAAACCUCACCACCUCUUGCUAAUACAGUCUAUAUACCACCGCCCUCAGUUCACCCUUCAAAAGAAUAAAAGUGAACAAAAUAAUUUAAAAUAAAAAAGUCAGGUCAAGGUGCAGCAAAUGAAGUGGGAAGAAAUGGGCUACAUUUUUUAUAAUAAAAAAUACGGAAUAUUUUAUGAAAUAAAAUAUAAAGGAGGAUUUAGAAGUAAAAAGAAAAAAGAGCGUUCUUUUUAAAUUGGCAAUAGAGCACGCACACACCGCCCGUCACCCUCUUCAAAAUCAAAUAAAUUAAAUAAAUAUAUAAAUUUACAAGAAAAGGUAAGUCGUAACAUGGUAAGUCUACCGGAAGGUGGCCUUGGACAU
This 689-nucleotide ribosomal RNA is filed under the name Desmognathus quadramaculatus (black-bellied salamander). Its description in RNAcentral is "partial small subunit ribosomal RNA". The record is from RNAcentral. Lineage: Eukaryota; Metazoa; Chordata; Amphibia; Caudata; Plethodontidae.